This 73-nucleotide transfer RNA is filed under the name Danio rerio (zebrafish). It matches the Rfam family "tRNA". From Rfam's summary of the family: Transfer RNA (tRNA) molecules are approximately 80 nucleotides in length. Their secondary structure includes four short double-helical elements and three loops (D, anti-codon, and T loops). Further hydrogen bonds mediate the characteristic L-shaped molecular structure. tRNAs have two regions of fundamental functional importance: the anti-codon, which is responsible for specific mRNA codon recognition, and the 3' end, to which the tRNAs corresponding amino acid is attached (by aminoacyl-tRNA synthetases). tRNAs cope with the degeneracy of the genetic code in two manners: having more than one tRNA (with a specific anti-codon) for a particular amino acid; and 'wobble' base-pairing, i.e. permitting non-standard base-pairing at the 3rd anti-codon position. The record is from Rfam by way of RNAcentral. Lineage: Eukaryota; Metazoa; Chordata; Actinopteri; Cypriniformes; Danionidae.
GGCGCUGUGGUUAGUUGGUCAAAGUGCCUGUCUAAUAAACAGGAGAUCCUGGCUUUGAAUUCCAGCAGUGCCU